RNAcentral lists this ribosomal RNA (432 nucleotides) under Triticum aestivum (bread wheat). Its description in RNAcentral is "partial small subunit ribosomal RNA". Lineage: Eukaryota; Viridiplantae; Streptophyta; Magnoliopsida; Poales; Poaceae. The record is from RNAcentral.
AUGGCGUCGACCUCGAGCUUGGAUUUGGGAAAGACCGUGCCGCCGGCUGGCUUCCUUCUCCACCGCCGCGUCGCCGUCCUCAGCGCCCCUGUUCUCUGGGGGAGGAGCGCGAGCGGGCGGUGCGGCCUCGCCAUCUCCGUCUCGUCCUCCAGUGGUGCAGCUGGGCUCUCCCCACUGAGUGACUCGGAGAAGAAAGGCCCUGUGGUGAUGGAGAUCCCGCUGGAAGAUAUCCGGAGGCUGGUAAUGCGAACACGUGCUACUGAUUCUGACAAGGUGCAGGAACUCAUGGACAACAUCCGUGUCAUCGGCCUCCAAGUACCUUUGGGCAUCCUUUCCAUUAACAUUAAUUUUUCCAAAAAAAAAAUUUUAGCUUAUAAGAUAAAUUAUGUCAGAACUGGAAUUUUCUUAUGUGGAAUGAGUACAUACAAAUAA